Long non-coding RNA from Arachis duranensis, 1226 nucleotides. RefSeq lists it as uncharacterized. NCBI's taxonomy places the organism in Eukaryota, Viridiplantae, Streptophyta, Magnoliopsida, Fabales, Fabaceae. The transcript has 5 exons. The record is from RefSeq and is a predicted model, not a curated record.
UUCUCAAUUUCUGGUUCUCCUUCUCUUUUUCCUUUUUAUUCAUUUUCUUUGUUUUUAAUUCUCAGAUUCUGCAUGAUUUGUUAUGUGAUAUAGCAUUCGAUGAGUUUUAUUAUCUAUUGAUUGAUAACAUUGUUUCAAAUUCUCAAGCACUCCAAGUGUUCGAUGAAUUGUUUAUUCUCUUAAUUGAAAUCCUGAUAAAUUGAUUUGCUAAUUUUUGAAUUUUGAUUUCGCGACACUCUUUUACUUUGAUACUAAUGUAUAUAUUUGAAAUCCUGAUAAAUUGAUUUUAUUUAGAAACAGCUAUGUUGCUUGAAUCUUAGACUACAGUGAAAAUCCAUGUGAGCAUUAAUAACUUUACCUUAAAUCCUCUUGUAUUUGUGUUUAUUGUUCUGUUCUCAUCAUUUAGCCUUUGAGGUGAAAAAUAAAAGAAAGAAAGAAAGAUAAGAAGAGAUACUAAGUGUUUGAGACUCUACAGAGGCUAGAUCCUUGAAGUACUGAAAAACUGGUUAGAGAAGAGCACUCAAGUUGUUGUCACUAAUGACGAGCGUAUAUUAGGACUAGGAGAUCUUGGUUGCCAGGCUGUUGUUUUCACAGAUAUUAGUCUUGAGAAAGCUAUUGAGUUCAAUGAUUUUUGCCACACUCAUCAGCCUCCUAUUGCUUGUAUCAAAACUGAAGUUAGAGGUUUUUUGUAGAGGAAAAGCCAGUUCUGGACUCGGAACUUUGGCAUGCAUGUGCUGGUUCCCUUGUUUCUUUACCUGCAGUUGGGAGCCAUGUGGUAUACUUUCCAUAAGGUCAUAGUGAACAAGCGAAAUUUCUAAUAUGUUUCAACUUAAAUAUUUUUAAGUUGGUUGAUAUUUCUAAGUGUAUUGAGGCACAGUUAUCCAAUUACAGAUCCUGAUGUGGAAGGAACUUGGCAUCAAAAGGGAAUGACUUAUCUGGACAUAUUCCAGAUACAAUUGCAAACCUUACUGGAUUGGCAGAAUUGUGAAGAUGAGAGCCAAAUUUUCUUUUGGCAACUGAGAAGAUUUUCAUGGCGUGAACUGCAACACGCGACUAAAAAUUUCAGCAAAAGCAAUGUAAUUGGCACAGGAAGAUUUGGAAAAGUUUAUAAAGGAGUACUCUCUUUUUUUAGUUCUCAGGUCAGUUUGGGCAUCAUGCCCAGUUUUUGCUUUAACACCCUUUUUUUUUUGGAAUAUAUGUAUUUUCAUAAUUUUUUCAGAAAGAUC